Molecule: ribosomal RNA, 459 nt
Filed under: uncultured bacterium
Lineage: Bacteria
Description: partial 16S ribosomal RNA
Rfam family: Bacterial small subunit ribosomal RNA
Source: RNAcentral
CCUACGGGGGGCAGCAGUGAGGAAUAUUGGUCAAUGGGCGCGAGCCUGAACCAGCCAAGUCGCGUGAGGGAAGACGGUCCUAUGGAUUGUAAACCUCUUUUGUCGGGGAGCAAAAGACGCCACGUGUGGCGUUCCGAGAGUACCCGAAGAAAAAGCAUCGGCUAACUCCGUGCCAGCAGCCGCGGUAAUACGGAGGAUGCGAGCGUUAUCCGGAUUUAUUGGGGUUAAGGGGUGCGCAGGCGGAAGAUCAAGUCAGCGGUAAAAGUGAGAGGCUCAACCUCUUCGAGCCGUUGAAACUGGUUUUCUUGAGUGAGCGAGAAGUAUGCGGAAUGCGUGGUGUAGCGGUGAAAUGCAUAGAUAUCACGCAGAACUCCGAUUGCGAAGGCAGCAUACCGGCGCUCAACUGACGCUCAUGCACGAAAGUGUGGGUAUCGAACAGGAUUAGAUACCCGGGUAGUC